Molecule: non-coding RNA, 203 nt
Organism: Pelobates cultripes (western spadefoot toad)
Lineage: Eukaryota; Metazoa; Chordata; Amphibia; Anura; Pelobatidae
Source: the annotation of a GenBank genome assembly
UUUUAGAUUUACACACUGGGUCUCCCUAGCCACAAUAAACAUUAACAGGCAUGGUGUUCCUCGAUAUGACUUCUAAUGCCAGCAUAUCCUAAAGUUACAUACAUCAGCUUAAUACACUUAAGGCUAGCAUCGAGGUUUCUGGGUGGACACUCUGCUGGAAUCCUAGAUGUGUGCUCAAAAGACCCAAUAAUAAUUGCAUUGUG